RNAcentral lists this ribosomal RNA (1365 nucleotides) under Salmonella enterica. RNAcentral's name for it is "partial 23S ribosomal RNA". It matches the Rfam family "Bacterial large subunit ribosomal RNA", at positions 1589 to 2925 of the family's 2925-position model. The record is from RNAcentral. RNAcentral also lists the same sequence under 2 other names. Lineage: Bacteria; Pseudomonadati; Pseudomonadota; Gammaproteobacteria; Enterobacterales; Enterobacteriaceae.
AGCAACAAAUGCCCUGCUUCCAGGAAAAGCCUCUAAGCAUCAGGUAACAUCAAAUCGUACCCCAAACCGACACAGGUGGUCAGGUAGAGAAUACCAAGGCGCUUGAGAGAACUCGGGUGAAGGAACUAGGCAAAAUGGUGCCGUAACUUCGGGAGAAGGCACGCUGACACGUAGGUGAAGUGAUUUACUCAUGGAGCUGAAGUCAGUCGAAGAUACCAGCUGGCUGCAACUGUUUAUUAAAAACACAGCACUGUGCAAACACGAAAGUGGACGUAUACGGUGUGACGCCUGCCCGGUGCCGGAAGGUUAAUUGAUGGGGUCAGCGCAAGCGAAGCUCCUGAUCGAAGCCCCGGUAAACGGCGGCCGUAACUAUAACGGUCCUAAGGUAGCGAAAUUCCUUGUCGGGUAAGUUCCGACCUGCACGAAUGGCGUAAUGAUGGCCAGGCUGUCUCCACCCGAGACUCAGUGAAAUUGAACUCGCUGUGAAGAUGCAGUGUACCCGCGGCAAGACGGAAAGACCCCGUGAACCUUUACUAUAGCUUGACACUGAACAUUGAGCCUUGAUGUGUAGGAUAGGUGGGAGGCUUUGAAGUGUGGACGCCAGUCUGCAUGGAGCCGACCUUGAAAUACCACCCUUUAAUGUUUGAUGUUCUAACGUGGACCCGUGAUCCGGGUUGCGGACAGUGUCUGGUGGGUAGUUUGACUGGGGCGGUCUCCUCCUAAAGAGUAACGGAGGAGCACGAAGGUUGGCUAAUCCUGGUCGGACAUCAGGAGGUUAGUGCAAUGGCAUAAGCCAGCUUGACUGCGAGCGUGACGGCGCGAGCAGGUGCGAAAGCAGGUCAUAGUGAUCCGGUGGUUCUGAAUGGAAGGGCCAUCGCUCAACGGAUAAAAGGUACUCCGGGGAUAACAGGCUGAUACCGCCCAAGAGUUCAUAUCGACGGCGGUGUUUGGCACCUCGAUGUCGGCUCAUCACAUCCUGGGGCUGAAGUAGGUCCCAAGGGUAUGGCUGUUCGCCAUUUAAAGUGGUACGCGAGCUGGGUUUAGAACGUCGUGAGACAGUUCGGUCCCUAUCUGCCGUGGGCGCUGGAGAACUGAGGGGGGCUGCUCCUAGUACGAGAGGACCGGAGUGGACGCAUCACUGGUGUUCGGGUUGUCAUGCCAAUGGCACUGCCCGGUAGCUAAAUGCGGAAGAGAUAAGUGCUGAAAGCAUCUAAGCACGAAACUUGCCCCGAGAUGAGUUCUCCCUGAGACUUUAGGUCUCCUGAAGGAACGUUGAAGACGACGACGUUGAUAGGCCGGGUGUGUAAGCGCAGCGAUGCGUUGAGCUAACCGGUACUAAUGAACCGUGAGGCUUAACCUUACAAC